This 606-nucleotide ribosomal RNA is filed under the name uncultured Bacillota bacterium. RNAcentral's name for it is "bacterial SSU rRNA". It matches the Rfam family "Bacterial small subunit ribosomal RNA", at positions 104 to 725 of the family's 1533-position model. Lineage: Bacteria; Bacillati; Bacillota. The record is from RNAcentral.
GGGUGAGUAACGCGUGAGCAACCUUUCCCAGACAGGGGAAUAACACACCGAAAAGGUGUACUAAUACCGCAUAAGACCACGGGAUCACAUGGUUCUGGGGUAAAAGAUUUAUCGGUUUGGGGUGGGCUCGCGUCCGAUUAGGUAGUUGGUGAGGUAACGGCCCACCAAGCCGACGAUCGGUAGCCGACCUGAGAGGGUGAUCGGCCACAUUGGGACUGAGACACGGCCCAAACUCCUACGGGAGGCAGCAGUGGGGAAUAUUGGGCAAUGGAGGAAACUCUGACCCAGCAACGCCGCGUGGAGGAAGAAGGUUUUCGGAUCGUAAACUCCUGUCCUUGGAGACGAGUAGAAGACGGUAUCCAAGGAGGAAGCCCCGGCUAACUACGUGCCAGCAGCCGCGGUAAUACGUAGGGGGCAAGCGUUGUCCGGAAUAAUUGGGCGUAAAGGGCGCGUAGGCGGCUCGGUAAGUCUGGAGUGAAAGUCCUGCUUUUAAGGUGGGAAUUGCUUUGGAUACUGUCGGGCUUGAGUGCAGGAGAGGUUAGUGGAAUUCCCAGUGUAGCGGUGAAAUGCGUAGAGAUUGGGAGGAACACCAGUGGCGAAGGCGAC